Molecule: long non-coding RNA, 214 nt
Filed under: Elaeis guineensis (African oil palm)
Lineage: Eukaryota; Viridiplantae; Streptophyta; Magnoliopsida; Arecales; Arecaceae
Description: long non-coding RNA (EGUI_LNC040839)
Source: RNAcentral
AUCCAUCAGGCACUCUAUUUUAUUAGGAAAUCUCUGUUUGUAAAGGAGCUAACCCUUUGCCUUUCGUCUUCCUCACCCAUCGAACAAAAAAUCUCCUCCCUCUCCACUCUCUCAACCGCAAAAAUCUCUUAAAAUCCCUCUUCCCACCAGAUUUUUCCCUUCAAAUCAUCCUUUUUGGAACUUAAUCCCCUUUCUUUUUCUUCUUUGUUUGGGC